UGUUAGUUAGUGGCGGACGGGUGAGUAACGCGUGGGUAACCUGCCGUAUACCGGGGGAUAACACCUGGAAACAGGUGCUAAUACCGCAUAAGCGCACGGGACCGCAUGGUCCAGUGUGAAAAACCGAGGUGGUAUGCGAUGGACCCGCGUCUGAUUAGCCAGUUGGCAGGGUAACGGCCUACCAAAGCGACGAUCAGUAGCCGGCCUGAGAGGGUGGACGGCCACAUUGGGACUGAGACACGGCCCAAACUCCUACGGAAGGCAGCAG
Molecule: ribosomal RNA, 268 nt
Filed under: uncultured bacterium
Lineage: Bacteria
Description: partial 16S ribosomal RNA
Rfam family: Bacterial small subunit ribosomal RNA
Source: RNAcentral